Molecule: long non-coding RNA, 668 nt
Organism: Oncorhynchus tshawytscha (Chinook salmon)
Lineage: Eukaryota; Metazoa; Chordata; Actinopteri; Salmoniformes; Salmonidae
Source: Ensembl
CCAGGAUGGAGAACAGGGGUCAGGAUGGAGAACAGGGGUCAGGAUGGAGAACAGGGGUCAGGAUGGAGAACAGGGGUCAGGAUGGAGAACAGGGGUCAGGAUGGAGAACAGGUGUCAGGAUGGAGAACAGGGGUCAGGAUGGAGAACAGGGUGUCAGGAUGGAGAACAGGGGUCAGGAUGGAGAACAGGGGUCAGGAUGGAGAACAGGGGUCAGGAUGGAGAACAGGGGUCAGGAUGGAGAACAGGGUCAGGGAUGGAGGGAGGACAGGGGUCAGGAUGGAGAACAGGGGUCAGGAUGGAGAACAGGGGUCAGGAUGGAGAACAGGUGUCAUGGUGGAGAACAGGGGUCAGGAUGGAGAACAGGGGUCAGGAUGGAGAACAGGGGUCAGGAUGGAGAACAGGUGUCAGGAUGGAGAACAGGUGUCAGGAUGGAGAACAGGUGUCAGGAUGGAGAACAGGUGUCAGGAUGGAGAACAGGGGUCAGGAUGGAGAACAGGUGUCAGGAUGGAGAACAGGGGUCAGGAUGGAGAACAGGUGUCAGGAUGGAGAACAGGGGUCAGGAUGGAGAACAGGGGUCAGGAUGGAGAACAGGUGUCAGGAUGGAGAACAGGGGUCAGGAUGGAGAACAGGGGUCAGGAUGGAGAACAGGGGUCAGGAUGGAGAACAGG